GGUGCUGUUGCUCAGUUGGUUAAAGUGCCUCUUUAGUAAACAGGAGAUCCUGGGUUUGAAUCACAGAAGUGCCU
This 74-nucleotide transfer RNA is filed under the name Alligator mississippiensis (American alligator). It matches the Rfam family "tRNA". Rfam says of the family: Transfer RNA (tRNA) molecules are approximately 80 nucleotides in length. The record is from Rfam by way of RNAcentral. Lineage: Eukaryota; Metazoa; Chordata; Crocodylia; Alligatoridae.